Homo sapiens (human) is the source of this 2293-nucleotide long non-coding RNA. RefSeq lists it as uncharacterized. The transcript is spliced from 2 exons. The record is from RefSeq and is a predicted model, not a curated record. Lineage: Eukaryota; Metazoa; Chordata; Mammalia; Primates; Hominidae.
UAGGGCUGAGAUGGGCCCCUUAGUGAUUCUGGUGGGGCUGCCUGUUUAUUUAGCUGCCUGCUACCCAUGGUCUCCAAAGCCUGCCCUCGCUGGGGAUUUUCCAUCUGGCUUCCAGUGACUCAGGCUCCCGCAGGGUGCUGGCCUUACCAGGCAGCAGAGAUGGCCCCACGAUUAAUAUUGAUACACGCCAGCUGCUGAGGCCUCUUUCGCAAGCAAGACAAAUAAUAUUAACUACCACAGCAACCGGCCUCUGAGCCGCACUGCCCUUAGGGUUUGCAAGCACUUUCCAUUCCAGCUUUCCAUCCUCUGAACAGGUGAUCUGUGUCGGCCCCUCCCAUGCCCCAAGCACAACCAGGCAGGGCACCUACUCUCUGUCUUGUGUGGUGGGGGGUGGGGGGAGGCAAAGGAUCAGAUGAAGACAAUGGGUUGUAACUGCAUGAUAGUGAGAAGCUGAAAUGCGCCGGGGCUGAGGGGCGCCUCCUAACCAGCCUAGCACUCCAGGCCAGAACGCCAGGGAGACAAGCCUCCAGUUUUUAGAAAACAAAACUGAAGUUCAUCGACUUGUUCAUUCAAUAAGCAAUGACUGAGCACCUGCUAUGAGCCAGGCACUGUUCUAGACACUCAGGGUGUAUAGUGAACAAAACAAAGCCCCACCCUGCUGAUGGCAAAGGGAAGGUAGACAAGAAGCCAAUAAAGAAAUAAAGAUCAAGCCUUACUUUCUGAAAAACCAAAAGAAAGAAACAGUGAAAGAAUGCGCUAUGGAAUGGAGACAAAUGUUGGGGGAAACAGAAAGUAAGUGUGGGGCUGGAGCGGGAGGGGCAUGAGGUUUUGGAGAGGAUGAUCAAGGCACUCCUAUCCCCAGGGGAGAGGUGGUGCCAGUGUCUCAGGACAGGGUGACAGUUCAGAGAGGUGACCUGACAACGUGCCUGGCCACCCCAAGCUUCUGGAUAGAGAGAGUUUUGUACUCAGUUCUUACAGAGUAUUGUCUUGUCCCAGAAGUGCUUUUGGAAAUAGCAUCAUUCAUUCAUUCAUUCAUUCAUUCAUCCAUUCCUUCACUGAGUCUCUACUCUGAGCUGGACAGGCAAGGAUACACCCUGGCUCCUGCCCCCACGGUACUCAUGGUCCAGGCUCGAAGUCCCUGUGUCAUGAUCAUGGUUGGGGCAGCAGGACCCAGUUCUCCCCUGAGAUUAAGUCUCAGAAGACACCUGGUUAACCAGCCAAAGUCUGCAUGAGGGUGACACUGGCUGGAGAGUGCCGCCCACAGGGAAUGCUCAGGUGGUGCCUUAUACCUCGUUGGAGCCUUCUGAGUGGGAAAGGCACCUCCCUGUGUGGCUCCUGCAGGUGCUGCUGGGGCCUAGCACCCUAGCACCUAUCUCAAGAAGUCAGACAUGGCUGCUGGGGCAGGUGCAUGCUGGUCUUGGACUCUCAGCAUCUGUUGUCACUCCUUUCGGUAAAGCAUGCUAUUUCCUCUUGGGGAGCCACAAUCCGCAGUCUGUGUACUCGAUCCCUCCUGGGCUUGGUAGCCUGAAUGCCCCAUGGUCACAAUGAUAUGUGCAGGGUGUGUGCCUGGCUCUGGCCUGGGCAGUGGUGACCUUGCAACCCCCUGAUCCCAGUGGCUGGGCCAGGAGUGAUUACACAACCAGACAGAUGCAGGCAGCACAGAUGUCCUGACUUGUAAGCGAGCACUGGGAAGCAGUCUGCACGGGGGACCCUGUCUCUCUGCUGGAAGGAAAGCCAGGAGGAUGUGCGCCUGUCUUGGCAGCUGCCAUCUCACCGCUGUGAGAGAAGCUGCUGAGAGUGGAGGUGCAGCAAGUAGAGCCCAGAGAUGGGAAGAAAGAGACUGGCUCCUGCUGGGUCUAACCGGACCCCUGUGGAUCAAACCACAUCUGAUUCUCCUUAUGAGCCCUGCAGUGCACUGCCCAGAUGCCCUGGGAGGGCUGGUGCAUUUUGGUGUGCCCCCCUCCCAGCAGCAGUGUGCCUUUGUCUCCAACUGCAACCCCUGCAGCCUGCCCUCUGGCUAUGGGUCCAGCAGCUUUGCCCACACAGGAGCAGCCAGGAAGGCCAGGCAGUUUGCUCCCUUCCUCCUCCCACAUGGUGGCACUGAUGACAGGUGUCCCAGCUCCUUUGCCUCCAAUGGGCUCUAACAACUUACACCCCGGAGCUCCCUGCAGGACCAAGCUGAGGCUGCCCCCAGCAGGACAUUGCCUGAAACUGCUACCCUGGCUUUGCUUCCUGCAAACAUCCCUGUUUCCCAGAAGCACUUCCUUAAUAAAUCACUUGCAUUGAACCCUUA